UUUAAGUGUUAAUAUAAAAACUAAAUUAGUAACAGUUAUGUUCUUGAAAAUUAAAGAUUUUGGCGGUAUUUUAGUCUAUUCAGAGGAACCUGUCCUAUAAUUGAUAGUCCACGAUUUAUAUUACUUAAUUUUAAAAGCUUGUAUAUCGUUGUUUAUAGAAAAUUUUAUAAGAAUAAUAAUUUUUAAUAAAUUUAAUUAAAUUAUAAAUCAAAUCAAGGUGCAGUUUAUAGUUAAGGAGAGAUGGGUUACAAUAAAUUUAUUUAUUUAAAUGAAUUUUUAAUUUAAAUAUUAAAAUGAAGGUGGAUUUGAUAGUAAUAUUAUUUAAUUAAAUAAUAUGAUUAUAGCUCUAAAGUAUGU
This 357-nucleotide ribosomal RNA is filed under the name Macrogyrus purpurascens. Its description in RNAcentral is "partial 12S ribosomal RNA". Lineage: Eukaryota; Metazoa; Arthropoda; Insecta; Coleoptera; Gyrinidae. The record is from RNAcentral.